GUUUACAGCCAUACCACCCUGAACACACCCCAUCUCAUGAUCUGGAAGUUAAGCAGGGUCAGGUCUGGUUAGCACUUGGAUGGGAGAAACCUAUGACCAGGAGAAGGGGCCUAGGUGAUUGUGGUGG
RNAcentral lists this ribosomal RNA (127 nucleotides) under Jaculus jaculus (lesser Egyptian jerboa). The record is from RNAcentral. Lineage: Eukaryota; Metazoa; Chordata; Mammalia; Rodentia; Dipodidae.